UACAAUUCCAAACUUACCACUAUCUACAAUUCCAACGCCUUAAGUUUACUACAAAAAUUUUGAAUUUUACUUGAUCUCACAUCUACUCCAAAUACCAAAUCAAUUUCAUUUUACUUUUUUAUGUAUACGAAAAGUUGAAGUCUAAGAAAUAAGGUCAGUGAAUAGCAGAUGUUUGAUAUGUAUCACUUAGUAAAAGAAAAUGAAAGUCAAUCAGAUUUACACAAGCUAAAGCCGUGCAUUUUUUGACAUCGACCCUAAUUGGUUGGAAUUUCUGGUGAGUUUCGAUGGUGGUUGUGGGUGUCGUUGUUAAUGGAGAAUCUCGAUGUCCGGACAAUGAAAUUGAUUGAAGUUGUUGGUGGAUUUUUGACGGUUGUUGUUAAUGGAGGAUCUUAAUGAGGGAGCGGUGGAAUUGAUUGAAAUUGCUGGUGCAUUUUGGUGGUCGUCGUGAGUGGUGGUUGUUAAUGGAGGGAGUAUUUUUAUGAUGUUAAUGGCGAAUGAAAGGUGCAGAUGAAGGAAGUGAAAAUGAAAUGAUGAAGAUAAUUAUGAGACUAGCUUAAAAGUACAAAAUUAUGUAUCAUACUGAUUGUUACACAUACAAAAAAAAAAUGAUGUAUCUUGUUUAAAAUAUGACAAAUAUAUGUAUCAAUUUUUUAUUUUUU
This 659-nucleotide long non-coding RNA is filed under the name Capsicum annuum. RNAcentral's name for it is "long non-coding RNA (CANN_LNC004251)". The record is from RNAcentral. Lineage: Eukaryota; Viridiplantae; Streptophyta; Magnoliopsida; Solanales; Solanaceae.